UAGGGAAUCUUCGGCAAUGGGGGGAACCCUGACCGAGCAACGCCGCGUGAGUGAAGAAGGUUUUCGGAUCGUAAAGCUCUGUUGUUAAGGAAGAACGAGUGUGAGAAUGGAAAGUUCAUGCUGUGACGGUACUUAACCAGAAAGGGACGGCUAACUACGUGCCAGCAGCCGCGGUAAUACGUAGGUCCCGAGCGUUGUCCGGAUUUAUUGGGCGUAAAGCGAGCGCAGGCGGUUAGAUAAGUCUGAAGUUAAAGGCAGUGGCUCAACCAUUGUAGGCUUUGGAAACUGUUUAACUUGAGUGCAGAAGGGGAGAGUGGAAUUCCAUGUGUAGCGGUGAAAUGCGUAGAUAUAUGGAGGAACACCGGUGGCGAAAGCGGCUCUCUGGUAUGUAACUGACGCUGAGGCUCGAAAGCGUGGGGAGCGAACAGG
This 429-nucleotide ribosomal RNA is filed under the name Bacteroidota bacterium. RNAcentral describes it as "Bacteroidetes bacterium partial 16S ribosomal RNA". It matches the Rfam family "Bacterial small subunit ribosomal RNA", at positions 355 to 776 of the family's 1533-position model. The record is from RNAcentral. Lineage: Bacteria; Pseudomonadati; Bacteroidota.